UACGGAGGAUUCAAGCGUUAUCCGGCUUUAUUGGGUUUAAAGGGAGCGUAGGCGGAUCGUUAAGUCAGUGGUCAAAUUGAGGGGCUCAACCCCUUCCCGCCAUUGAAACUGGCGUUCUUGAGUGGAAGAGAAGUAUGCGGAAUGCGUGGUGUAGCGGUGAAAUGCAUAGAUAUCGCGCAGAACUCCGAUUGCGAAGGCAGCAUACCGGCGCCCGACUGACGCUGAAGCACGAAAGCGUGGGUAUCGAACAGG
Molecule: ribosomal RNA, 252 nt
Filed under: uncultured Bacteroidales bacterium
Lineage: Bacteria; Pseudomonadati; Bacteroidota; Bacteroidia; Bacteroidales
Description: partial 16S ribosomal RNA
Rfam family: Bacterial small subunit ribosomal RNA
Source: RNAcentral